This 497-nucleotide ribosomal RNA is filed under the name uncultured bacterium. RNAcentral's name for it is "partial 16S ribosomal RNA". It matches the Rfam family "Bacterial small subunit ribosomal RNA", at positions 28 to 507 of the family's 1533-position model. The record is from RNAcentral.
GAUGAACGCUGGCGGCGUGCCUAAUACAUGCCAGUCGAGCGAACAGAUGAGGAGCUUGCUCCUCUGACGUUAGCGGCGGACGGGUGAGUAACACGUAGAUAACCUACCUAUAAGACUGGGAUAACUUCGGGAAACCGGAGCUAAUACCGGAUAAUAUAUUGAACCGCAUGGUUCAAUAGUGAAAGACGGUUUUGCUGUCACUUAUAGAUGGAUCCGCGCCGCAUUAGCUAGUUGGUAAGGUAACGGCUUACCAAGGCGACGAUGCGUAGCCGACCUGAGAGGGUGAUCGGCCACACUGGAACUGAGACACGGUCCAGACUCCUACGGGAGGCAGCAGUAGGGAAUCUUCCGCAAUGGGCGAAAGCUUGACGGAGCAACGCCGCGUGAGUGAUGAAGGUCUUCGGAUCGUAAAACUCUGUUAUUAGGGAAGAACAAAUGUGUAAGUAACUAUGCACGUCUUGACGGUACCUAAUCAGAAAGCCACGGCUAACUACGUG